GAUGAACGCUAGCGAUAGGCCCAACACAUGCAAGUCGAGGGGCAUCACAUGAAGCAGCAAUGCGGAUGGUGGCGACCGGCGCACGGGUGAGUAACACGUAUGCAACCUGCCUUCAACAAGGGCAUAACCCGUUGAAAGACGGACUAAUUCCCUAUGACACAGGGGUCCCGCAUGGGGAUAUUUGUUAAAGAUUUUAUCGGUUGAAGAUGGGCAUGCGUUCCAUUAGCUUGUUGGCGGGGUAACGGCCCACCAAGGCAACGAUGGAUAGGGGAACUGAGAGGUUUAUCCCCCACACUGGUACUGAGACACGGACCAGACUCCUACGGGAGGCAGCAGUGAGGAAUAUUGGUCAAUGGACGCAAGUCUGAACCAGCCACGUCGCGUGAAGGAAGACGGCCCUACGGGUUGUAAACUUCUUUUAUACGGGAAUAAAGUGCCCCACGUGUGGGGUUUUGCAUGUACCGUAUGAAUAAGGAUCGGCUAACUCCGUGCCAGCCGCCGCUGUAA
RNAcentral lists this ribosomal RNA (507 nucleotides) under uncultured bacterium. RNAcentral describes it as "partial 16S ribosomal RNA". It matches the Rfam family "Bacterial small subunit ribosomal RNA", at positions 28 to 523 of the family's 1533-position model. The record is from RNAcentral.